Long non-coding RNA from Dromaius novaehollandiae (emu), 393 nucleotides. RefSeq lists it as uncharacterized. The record is from RefSeq and is a predicted model, not a curated record. The transcript has 2 exons. Lineage: Eukaryota; Metazoa; Chordata; Aves; Casuariiformes; Dromaiidae.
GUUUUUAUUUAUGCUGUAGCCAAAAUAGUUAACAGGACACUGAUUUUUUCCAGAAGGACUUCUACCGUAUGGAGAAAUGGGCAGAGGAACCUCAUGAAGUUCAAUAAAGAUGUCCAGAUGACAAUGUGUUGAUCCCUCUGUGCGCUGGACACCGUGGUGGAUCGUACACUGAUGUUACCAGCUCUGCGGGGGAUUUCUGAGCAAGUGCAGCAACAUCUCACACCCUGUUCAUACGAAGACAUAUGCAACAGUGAUAUUGGCAAGAUUUAGCCCUAUUUCACAGCAUUUGGCACUCUAAUGACCACACUGAAGAUGAUUAGCUGUCUUGUCUUUAAAAGGAGACUGCUUUCUAAUUGCUUCCUAAAAAAAGUGUUAAACGUGGACUCUAUUUGG